RNAcentral lists this long non-coding RNA (218 nucleotides) under Lathyrus oleraceus (garden pea). RNAcentral describes it as "Pisum sativum (pea) long non-coding RNA (PSAT_LNC002310)". The record is from RNAcentral. Lineage: Eukaryota; Viridiplantae; Streptophyta; Magnoliopsida; Fabales; Fabaceae.
UGACGUGUGGGAAGUUUGAAGAUGAUGGUUGGUUACAAGGGUCAAAUAGUAAUUUAUUUUGUGAUAGAUACAAAUUUGAAAAGGAUCUAUACCAGACCAUGUAUUCAUAGCUCGAUUUACAUUUUGUUGGCAUGAUAUAGCCUUGUAAUAUAGUAGUGCGGUGUUUUUUCAAUUGAAGACACUCUUAUCUAUUAUGAUAUUUUCAAUUUCUAAAUUUC